CCGAGAUUCAACAUGGAACGAGUGGCGGACGGGUGAGUAACACGUGGGUAACCUGCCCUUAAGUGGGGGAUAACAUUUGGAAACAGAUGCUAAUACCGCAUAGAUCCAAGAACCGCAUGGUUCUUGGCUGAAAGAUGGCGUAAGCUAUCGCUUUUGGAUGGACCCGCGGCGUAUUAGCUAGUUGGUGAGGUAAUGGCUCACCAAGGCGAUGAUACGUAGCCGAACUGAGAGGUUGAUCGGCCACAUUGGGACUGAGACACGGCCCAAACUCCUACGGGAGGCAGCAGUAGGGAAUCUUCCACAAUGGACGCAAGUCUGAUGGAGCAACGCCGCGUGAGUGAAGAAGGCUUUCGGGUCGUAAAACUCUGUUGUUGGAGAAGAAUGGUCGGCAGAGUAACUGUUGCCGGCGUGACGGUAUCCAACCAGAAAGCCACGGCUAACUACGUGCCAGCAGCCGCGGUAAUACGUAGGUGGCAAGCGUUAUCCGGAUUUAUUGGGCGUAAAGCGAGCGCAGGCGG
This 518-nucleotide ribosomal RNA is filed under the name Lacticaseibacillus paracasei. RNAcentral's name for it is "bacterial SSU rRNA". It matches the Rfam family "Bacterial small subunit ribosomal RNA", at positions 73 to 578 of the family's 1533-position model. Lineage: Bacteria; Bacillati; Bacillota; Bacilli; Lactobacillales; Lactobacillaceae. The record is from RNAcentral.